This 253-nucleotide ribosomal RNA is filed under the name uncultured bacterium. RNAcentral's name for it is "partial 16S ribosomal RNA". It matches the Rfam family "Bacterial small subunit ribosomal RNA", at positions 524 to 776 of the family's 1533-position model. The record is from RNAcentral.
UACAGGGGGGGCAAGCGUUGUUCGGAAUUACUGGGCGUAAAGGGCUCGUAGGUGGCCAACUAAGUCAGACGUGAAAUCCCUCAGCUUAACUGGGGAACUGCGUCUGAUACUGGAUGGCUUGAGUUUGGGAGAGGGAUGCGGAAUUCCAGGUGUAGCGGUGAAAUGCGUAGAUAUCUGGAGGAACACCGGUGGCGAAGGCGGCAUCCUGGACCAAUACUGACACCGAGGAGCGAAAGCCAGGGGAGCAAACGGG